Molecule: ribosomal RNA, 406 nt
Filed under: uncultured bacterium
Lineage: Bacteria
Description: partial 16S ribosomal RNA
Rfam family: Bacterial small subunit ribosomal RNA
Source: RNAcentral
GAUGACCGCUAGCUACAGGCUUAACACCUGCAAGUCGAGGGACCGGCGCACGGGUGAGUAACACGUCUCCAACCUGCCCUUUAAUCGGGGAUAGCCUUUCGCAAGCAAGCUUAAUACCCGAUAUAAAGGAUGGGCAUGCGUACCAUUAGGUUGUUGGUGAGGUAACGGCUCACCAAGCCUUCGCUGGAUAGGGGUUCUGAGAGGAAGGUCCCCCACAUUGGAACUGGUACACGGUCCAAACUCAGACGGGAGGCAGCAGGGAGGAAUAGUGGUCAAGGGGCGCUAGCCUGAACCAGACAAGUAGCGUGAAGGAUGAAGGCUUAUGGGUCGUAAACUUCUUUUAUAUAAGAAUAUGUAUUAGAUGAAUAAGGAGCGGCUAACUCCGUGCCAGCAGCCGCGGUAAUUC